RNAcentral lists this transfer RNA (76 nucleotides) under Chloroflexota bacterium. Its description in RNAcentral is "Chloroflexi bacterium (freshwater metagenome) tRNA-Ala". It matches the Rfam family "tRNA". From Rfam's summary of the family: Transfer RNA (tRNA) molecules are approximately 80 nucleotides in length. Their secondary structure includes four short double-helical elements and three loops (D, anti-codon, and T loops). Lineage: Bacteria; Bacillati; Chloroflexota. The record is from RNAcentral.
GGGGCGGUCGCCUAGCGGGAUGGCACCUCCCUUGCACGGAGGAAUAACAGGGGUUCGAAUCCCCUCCGCUCCACCA